UCCUACGGGGGGCAGCAGUCGGGAAUAUUGCGCAAUGGAGGCAACUCUGACGCAGUGACGCCGCGUAUAGGAAGAAGGUUUUCGGAUUGUAAACUAUUGUCCUCAGGGAAGAAAAAAGACUGUACCUGAGAAGAAAGCUCCGGCUAACUACGUGCCAGCAGCCGCGGUAAUACGUGGGGGGCAAGCGUUAUCCGGAUUUACUGGGUGUAAAGGGAGCGUAGACGGCAGAGCAAGUCUGAAGUGAAAGCCCGCGGCCCAACUGCGGGACUGCUUUGGAAACUGCCCGGCUAGAGUG
Molecule: ribosomal RNA, 295 nt
Filed under: uncultured bacterium
Lineage: Bacteria
Description: partial 16S ribosomal RNA
Rfam family: Bacterial small subunit ribosomal RNA
Source: RNAcentral